AUUGAACGCUGGCGGCAUGCUUUACACAUGCAAGUCGAACGCGGUUGGGGGGCAACUCCUGACUGAGUGGCGAACGGGUGAGUAAUACAUCGGAACGUACCUCGUUGUGGGGGAUAACCCACCGAAAGGUGGGCUAAUACCGCAUACGCCCUGAGGGGGAAAAGCGGGGGGGACCCUGAGAGGGCCUCGCGCGAUGGGAGCGGCCGAUGUCGGAUUAGCUAGUAGGUUGGGUAAAGGCUGACCUAGGCGACGAUCCGUAGCUGGUCUGAGAGGAUGAUCAGCCACACUGGGACUGAGACACGGCCCAGACUCCUACGGGAGGCAGCAGUGGGGAAUUUUGGACAAUGGGCGCAAGCCUGAUCCAGCCAUGCCGCGUGAGUGAAGAAGGCCUUCGGGUUG
Molecule: ribosomal RNA, 399 nt
Filed under: uncultured bacterium
Lineage: Bacteria
Description: bacterial SSU rRNA
Rfam family: Bacterial small subunit ribosomal RNA
Source: RNAcentral